GAGGGACUUGAGGAUGAUCUUUAAAUAGGUCAAGCAGGAGGAUGAGGAGGAUUUUCACGGAAGAAAUCUGCUUUAGCGGGCUUUGGGACCGGCUUUUCCGCGUUUUUUAAGUUCCCUGAUCUUAAAUACAACGUUGACUAAUGAGUGAAUGUUGUGUUUCAGGCAAACGAAAGCUAUCUGAUGAACGAGGAGCCCUCCAGAGGUCCUGGGAUGCCUGAAUGCUUCGUGGUGUCAGACUCUUACAGGUUAAGGCCCAUGCCAAGUCUCCCAGAGAAUCUGGGUUGCUACAGCGUGCCGAGUGUCUCAGAAGGACAGAAAUGAACCGGUCUCGCUGUAACCGAGCAGUUCGGUCGCUAAGGUGGAGAGUUUUUUCAGAGAUGGAGGGGUGUUAGAGUCUAGAGGUCAGCGGGUUCAGCAGCAUCCACGGCUCCUCGUGGGCUCUCCUCAUGGAAGCGUAGGGUCCGACUUGUUCCUGUGCUUUGUUCUUUCAAUCCGCAGCCGACACGUGAAGCUCACGCUCACACAUAACAACAUUAAACUGAUCUUUUAAUUUCCGUAUUGGAAGCAAAAAAAAGAGGUCAAUAAUCCCCAUCGGAAUUUAAAUCUAUCGUGUUUUGUUGAGAUGCAAUUUCUGUUAAUACAAAUAAAGAUUUCGCAUCACCAGCCAGCUGGGCUGAAACAGACGUCUCCACGUGUCUUUCAGGCUUCAGGGCUCAGCUUUUGCUUUUCAGAGAAUAAUUGUGGCUAAAUUAAAUGCUAAAAAUGUGGGCAUGUUUUCCUGUUUUGGCUCAAACUCUUCUGAGGUAAUGACAUGUAUGAUUUUAACACAAAAG
This 833-nucleotide long non-coding RNA is filed under the name Oryzias sinensis (Chinese medaka). RNAcentral's name for it is "lncRNA (ENSOSIG00000017080.1)". The record is from RNAcentral. Lineage: Eukaryota; Metazoa; Chordata; Actinopteri; Beloniformes; Adrianichthyidae.